GUAGCGUCUUGCACCAGGGCCCACUUGUAUCUUGUGGCUGGAUCAUCUCUUGAAACCUAUUUGUACAUAUGUGGUAGCUAGAUGUUCCAUUUGUAAUCUGGAGGGCUGGCAAUUUAGAGUCAUCAGUCAACCUAAUCUGACCUGUGAGUUUUGUUGACACCUUUGGACUCGGACCCUGCAAGAAAACCCACACAGGCCCAAGGAGAACAUGCAAGACCAAAACCUUCUUGCUAUGAGAUGAAAGUGCUAAGCAAUGCUGCGUGAAAUACCUCAGUGCCUCCCUGCAGGAGUAUUAAAAGGAGGACCUUGUCCUGGUCAGACUUGCCAGGAUUUGCAGUAUCCCAUCUGGCCCAGGUAUGCUAUCCCGGGGUUUAGUGGGGACGUUGUGCGAAGAGGAGCCAAGGAUUGAAAAAAUAGCAAUCCUGCAGGUAAUGUAGGAAAUGCUCCACCAUAGGAGUCACUGCUCCUGACAUGAUGUGGGGGAAAAGGUAAGUAUGAGUGUCUGACUUGCAAAGGAAAUUACCCUCUAUAGCCUGUUAUAUAGAGACAUAGACACUGUGUAAACUACCUUCGAUAAAAUAUACCUGUUUAUCAAUUUACUACGUAACAUUAUUUAUUUAAUCAUUCAACAACUGUUUUAUCCUGUGAACACUGUGUUUCUUGAUUUUCAACUAAGCUCUAGGUGCCCAUACAGAGGUAAGUUAAUAAUUACUAACAACAUUUACAAAAGUGUCCUGCAAAUUUUUGUUUCACUUAUUCAAUGGCUCAGAGAUUAUUUCUCUUACUAACUCUUUUAUACUUUUAUGUAGUUUUUCUUUAGAAGGUGUAGAGGCUUUACCAGACAAAGGUGGAGAUGUGAAGGACGGAGCACUUCCCCUCAUCUGCUGCAUCCAGCAGAGGCAGCUGUUCUCUCCCAGGCUUCUCUGACGACAGAGAAGACGUUUGCUCCGGACCAGAUGAGAAGGAUGGAUGACCACAGGACAAACUGGAAAGCGGUGGUCGCCUGUUUUUCACUAGGCUAAGGCAGGACUCGUUCUGUGUCUUCAGCACUCCUGGAGCAGCUGAGAGUGGACGUCCCAGCACUAGAGCAGAGUCCUGAACCACUCUCAGCAGCCUUUAUCCUUCCAGGCACCAAAUACGGUCUGAAGACCCCUCCUGCCCCGACAACACCCUCUUCAGUUACCAGUC
Long non-coding RNA from Xiphias gladius (swordfish), 1188 nucleotides. RefSeq lists it as uncharacterized. NCBI's taxonomy places the organism in Eukaryota, Metazoa, Chordata, Actinopteri, Istiophoriformes, Xiphiidae. The record is from RefSeq and is a predicted model, not a curated record. The transcript is spliced from 3 exons.